Mycena leptocephala is the source of this 94-nucleotide non-coding RNA. The record is from the annotation of a GenBank genome assembly. Lineage: Eukaryota; Fungi; Basidiomycota; Agaricomycetes; Agaricales; Mycenaceae.
GACCUGGCGGUGAAAUGAAUCAUACCCACUCUUACUAUGUAUCUAUUGAGUGAUGUAUUUGUGGGGGUCCCCGGUUCGAAUCCGGGCCAGGUCA